GCACAAGCGGAGGAACAUGUGGUUUAAUUCGAUGAUACGCGAGGAACCUUACCUGGGCUUAAAUGUAGAGUGCAUGAUGUGGAAACAUGUCUUCCCUUCGGGGCUCUCUGCAAGGUGCUGCAUGGUUGUCGUCAGCUCGUGCCGUGAGGUGUCGGGUUAAGUCCCAUAACGAGCGCAACCCUUAUCGUUAGUUGCCAGCGGGUAAUGCCGGGAACUCUAACGAAACUGCCGGUGUAAACCGAGAGGAAGGUGGGGAUGACGUCAAAUCAGCACGGCCCUUAUGUCCAGGGCUACACACGUGUUACAAUGGCCGGUACAGAGGGCAGCUACCUGGAGACAGGAUGCGAAUCUCGAAAGCCGGUCUCAGUUCGGAUCGGAGUCUGCAACUCGACUCCGUGAAGCUGGAUUCGCUAGUAAUCGCGCAUCAGCCAUGGCGCGGUGAAUACGUUCCCGGGCCUU
RNAcentral lists this ribosomal RNA (459 nucleotides) under uncultured Sphingobacteriales bacterium. RNAcentral describes it as "bacterial SSU rRNA". It matches the Rfam family "Bacterial small subunit ribosomal RNA", at positions 923 to 1382 of the family's 1533-position model. The record is from RNAcentral. Lineage: Bacteria; Pseudomonadati; Bacteroidota; Sphingobacteriia; Sphingobacteriales.